UCUUGAGUUAGUUUGGUCCCUCAUUUCAGUCCACCUGUGUAGGUACGGACCAGAGGAAUCAGGGAAGUCAGCAGUGAGUACUGCACCUGCAGAGUUAGUUCAGAGUCUACCAAAGGUGAGUGGAACUUCUCUUUUCAGAACUAAACUGCUUUUAGCAUGCUUCAUGCAUCAUGAUGAUUAUAGUAGGUUGAUUGCACUAGUUUCACGAAUAUGGCGCAUUGCAUUGCAUACUACGAUGUAUAUGAUGAGAUGGAUGGACCAAGGUGACCCCAAUAGCCCUAGCUCUGUGUAAGACCUGGCCGGGCCAGGCAGCCUUCUGUAGGUAAGACCUGGCUAGGCCAGGCAGCAGAUUAUCGUAAGACCUGGCUAGGCCAGGCGAGCAGAGUUUGUAAGACCUGGCCGGGCCAGGCAAAUUGAGGUUGUCAG
Molecule: long non-coding RNA, 426 nt
Filed under: Manihot esculenta (cassava)
Lineage: Eukaryota; Viridiplantae; Streptophyta; Magnoliopsida; Malpighiales; Euphorbiaceae
Description: long non-coding RNA (MESC_LNC012139)
Source: RNAcentral